This is an RNA transcript of Cucurbita moschata (crookneck pumpkin), 3301 nucleotides long. It is a transcript of the gene named probable helicase CHR10, with no coding region annotated. NCBI's taxonomy places the organism in Eukaryota, Viridiplantae, Streptophyta, Magnoliopsida, Cucurbitales, Cucurbitaceae. The transcript is spliced from 18 exons. The record is from RefSeq and is a predicted model, not a curated record.
CUCAACUUUGGCGCGCAACGUGUUGAAUGAAAUUUGAUCCUUGUAGACAGACUGACAUUAAUCGCGGCGACCUUUGAUCGGAGAACACUCCGUGCGCCGCCGCACGGCAGUUGAAGUUGUAGUCGAGUCUCCAUUGGCACGUUUCCUUUUGGUGAGGAUUUGAGAGAGUGAUGAAUUACGAGAGAAGGCUAAAAGCAGCGGCGAAGCUCAUACUUCUCCAUGAUUCUGAGUCCGACAACUCCCCGAAGUCCUGCCCGGACGUCGGAGUUACGGCGACUCUGAAGCCCUACCAAGUCGAAGGAGUUCUAUGGCUAAUUCGGCGAUAUCAUCUUGGCGUCAACGUUAUUCUUGGUGAUGAGAUGGGGCUGGGGAAGACAUUGCAAGCUAUUUCUUUUCUGAGUUACUUGAAGGUCCAUCAGAUAUCACCUGGCCCAUUUUUGGUAUUAUGUCCUUUGAGCGUUACAGAUGGUUGGGCAUCUGAGAUUGUCAGAUUUGCUCCGCAUCUAAAUGUUCUUCAGUAUGUUGGAGAUAAAGAAACUCGACGAAAUUCUCGCAGGCGCAUUUUUGAGCAUGCAACAUCACAAUCAGUGACUGAUGUCGUGUUCCCUUUUGAUGUUCUGUUGACAACGUAUGACAUAGCAUUGAUAGAUCAAGACUUCCUCUCUCAGAUAGCCUGGCAAUAUGCUGUCAUUGAUGAAGCACAGAGACUUAAAAACCCUUCAAGUGUUCUGUACAAUGUACUUAAAGAGCGUUUUCUUAUCCCGAGGCGGUUAUUGAUGACUGGAACUCCUAUUCAGAACAAUCUCAGUGAACUUUGGGCCUUAUUGCAUUUCUGCAUGCCUUCAGUGUUUGGAACACUGGAUCAGUUUAUUUCUACGUUCAAGGAAGCUGGAGAUCUUACUUCUGGUAAUGGAAAAAUUCAUGGAAAUGGGCAAUUUAAGAGUUUAAAGUAUAUACUAUCAGCCUUCCUUUUGAGAAGAACAAAAGCCAAGCUUAGUGAAUCUGGAGUUCUGUUGCUCCCACCACUUACUGAGAUAACAGUGAUGGUACCAUUGGUUAACCUUCAAAGAAAGGUCUAUAUGUCGAUAUUGAGGAAGGAGCUGCCUAAACUACUUGCACUUUCUUCUGGAUCCUCAAAUCACCAAUCUUUACAGAAUGUCGUGAUGCAACUUCGAAAAGCUUGUAGCCAUCCUUAUCUUUUUCCUGGUAUUGAGCCUGAACCUUAUGAAGAAGGCGAGCACCUGGUUCAGGCUAGCGGCAAGCUUGUGAUUCUAGAUCAAGUACUUCAGAAACUACAUGAGUCUGGACAUCGUGUGCUCUUAUUUGCUCAGAUGACCCAUACACUUGAUAUAUUACAGGACUUCUUGGAGUUGCGGAAUUUUUCCUAUGAGCGUCUUGAUGGAUCAAUUCGAGCCGAGGAGCGUUUUGCUGCAAUCAGGAGCUUCAGCUUGAACUGUAGUGGGAGUUCUCAAACAACCCGUAAUGAUGCAUUUGUUUUUUUGAUCUCAACAAGAGCCGGGGGAGUUGGUUUGAAUCUAGUAUCAGCUGAUACGGUUAUAUUCUAUGAACAAGAUUGGAAUCCACAGGUGGACAAGCAAGCUUUACAAAGGGCACAUCGAAUUGGUCAAAUAAAUCAUGUGUUGUCUAUAAACUUAGUUACAGCCCAAACUAUCGAAGAAGUUAUUAUGCGUAGGGCGGAAAGAAAGUUACAACUUAGCAAAAACGUUAUUGGUGAAGAUUAUAUAGAUGAGGAAACAGAAGAAAUUGCAGGGAAUGAAACUGGUGACUUGAGAUCGAUCAUAUUUGGGUUACGUAUUUUUGAUCAAGGUCAAAUGGACAAUGAAAAAUCAGGGGAGUUUGAGGCGUCAAAUGUCAGUGCAAUGGCUGAAAAAGUUGUUGCAGUACGCCAUAAAAAAGUAUCAAACAAGGAUGAUGCAAGCUUUUUGGUCAAUACAAUGACUUUAUCAAAUGGUUGUGAUCUUUCUAUUCGAGAAGGUACUACCUCGGUCAAUUUUGACCCAGGCCUUGAUGAGGCAUCGUAUCGUUCUUGGGUAGAGAAGUUCAAGGAAGCAUCCCAUUCUGGUGCUAACCAAAUCAUGGAGUUGGAAAACCGGAAAGCUUUAUCUAGAGAUAAGAGCCUAAAACUUGAGGCUGUAAAGAAGAAAGCAGAAGAAAAGAAACUGGCAAAAUGGGAAGCCCUUGGAUACCAUUCGUUAUCUGUUGAAGACCCAAUCUUGCCUCUUGAUAGUGAUCCAAUUUCGGAUUCUGGCUCUGUUCAUUUUGUCUAUGGGGACUGCACACAUCCGUCAUUGAAUUGUAUAUCUGAGCCUACAAUCAUAUUCAGUUGUGUUGACGAUUCUGGAAGCUGGGGGCAUGGCGGAAUGUUUGAUGCUCUGGCAAAGCUUUCUGAUAGCAUCCCUUCUGCCUAUGAACGAGCUUCUGAAUUUAGGGACCUACAUCUUGGUGAUCUUCAUCUCAUAAAACUCGAGGACAACAAACAAGAGAGUGAUAAAGCUCCUCAAUGGGUUGCUUUGGGUGUUGUACAAUCUUAUAAUCCGAGGCGGAAAGUCCCCAGAAGCAAGAUUUCUCUUCCAGAUUUGGAGAACUGCAUAUUAAAAGCAUCAUCUGCAGCGUCGCAACAUUCUGCUUCAAUCCACAUGCCGCGUAUUGGUUACCAAGACGGAUCAGAUCGCUCCGAGUGGUACACCGUGGAACGUCUUCUCCGAAAAUACGCCUCCAUCUACAGCAUUAAAAUCCAUGUGUACUACUACCGGAGGACAUCUUGAAACUUUCCAAACUUGGAUGGCCGUUCGUGGCAGAUGUUUGCAUGUAUAUAUACAUGUUCUAGAGUACCUUCCAAGAGAAACUAAGCCAAUGGAGCAAAAAGAAACAGUGCCUCCGACAUUGUCUGAGGACACACGCCGGUGGAUACAAGUGCAUGUGCUGACCGAUGCUUGGUUCGGUUGCAUGCUUGGCUUGACAACGAACCCUUUUUUAUACAUACCACACUGCUGCUAAACUAACCACACAACCCCUCGAACUCCAAAGUACAGAAAAAAUCAAACUUCCAUGCUUGGAAUCAAAGUUCAGUCCCAACAUAAACACUCGUCCAAACCAUGCUUAUUGUAUAUUGAAAUAGAUAAAACAUCCAUCAUAUUCAACAUUCGGGCCAAAGCUGACAAUAUCUACUAACGGUGAGUUUAGACGAUUACUAAUGGUAUUAGAGUUAGACAUUGGGUGAUGUGUCAGCAAUGACGUUAGGCCUCCAAAAGAGUGGAUUGUGAGAUCGCAUAUGGUUGAA